AGAGUUUGAUCCUGGCUCAGGACGAACGCUGGCGGUGUGCUUCACACAUGCAAGUCGAACGGUAGCAAUACAGUGGCGGACGGGUGAGUAACACGUGGGAAUCUGCCUUUAGAUGGGGGAUAACUAGCCGAAAGGUUAGCUAAUACCGCAUAUGCCGAAAGGUGAAAGGAGCAAUCCGUCUGAAGAUGAGCCCGCGUCCGAUUAGCUAGUUGGUAAGGUAAAGGCUUACCAAGGCUGUGAUCGGUAGCUGGUCUGAGAGGAUGAUCAGCCACAAUGGGACUGAGACACGGCCCAUACUCCUACGGGAGGCAGCAGUGGGGAAUUUUACGCAAUGGGCGAAAGCCUGACGUAGCGACACCGCGUGAACGAAGAAGCCUUUUGGGGUGUAAAGUUCUGUCGGCAGGGACGAAAAAAAUGACGGUACCUGCAAAGGAAGCAUCGGCUAACUACGUGCCAGCAGCCGCGGUAAGACGUAGGAUGCGAGCGUUGUCCGGAUUUAUUGGGCGUAAAGAGUUCGUAGGCGGUUCGUUAAGUCUGAUGUUAAAGAUCGGGGCUCAACCUCGAGAGUGCAUUGGAUACUGGCGGACUUGAGUGCAGUAGAGGCGAGUGGAAUUCUCAGUGUAGCGGUGAAAUGCGUAGA
This 640-nucleotide ribosomal RNA is filed under the name uncultured bacterium. RNAcentral's name for it is "bacterial SSU rRNA". It matches the Rfam family "Bacterial small subunit ribosomal RNA", at positions 8 to 694 of the family's 1533-position model. The record is from RNAcentral.